This is a long non-coding RNA of Pezoporus flaviventris, 1023 nucleotides long. RefSeq lists it as uncharacterized. The transcript is spliced from 3 exons. Lineage: Eukaryota; Metazoa; Chordata; Aves; Psittaciformes; Psittacidae. The record is from RefSeq and is a predicted model, not a curated record.
UUUAUAAGCUGCUUCAGCUGCAGCAGCACUUUGGGAGAUUCUGGUUCCACCUGUUUAAAUAAAUAGGAGCCUCAGAAAGAGGAGUGGAUUGGAAUUUGCUUGGGCUCAAACUGGGUCUAACAGCACAAGUCAGGCUGAAAGCUACAAGCCGGGCCAAGCGCUAGCAGAGGAGAAUGAUAUUCCAGGGUGAUUAAGUUACAGCAUACUCAGAAGAGGUCUCCUGAGUUUCAGCAAGAUUAUAUCUAAAAUGGCAUGGAAAGUUUACCGUCUCUCCAGACAAAAGGAAGAGAGUUUGUUGCCAGCAGAUGAGUAAUGGGCAUGGCCUCUGCACAAUACCUCCUAUCCAGUUCUAAAUCUACAUGGUGUUCUCAGGCUUCCCAGCUUCUCCAAAGCAACCUUUGUCUCUGCACUGGGAGACCAGAACUGCUCGUUGAGUUAGUGGGGUUGCAGCCAAGAUGGGAAUGCUUGGUGACAACAGUUGCUCAGUGCUCAGUGCCCAGUAUCUGCCUUCUUACUAUGCUACUACAAUAGUUGGAAACUCAUCAACAUUUGUAUAGAAGGUGCCCAAUUAUGUUGCAGACCAGCUGUAUAGUUUUCAGUUCCAGAAGAUUCCAGUAACUCACUAAGUUUUAAUACUUUUUUUUUUUUUCCUUGUUAAUCUGAUGGGCUGCCUGAGAUAAAUGAUUAAAGCAAAAGCAUGGCAGAAUUACUCUGGGGGUAAAACUACAUAGAAGUUGCCAAGUCUGGUAUUUGCUUUCUUACAAUCUACUUGAAGAAAGCAUUUUCCAUGGAUGAGAAAUUUUAGAUUUUUAUUAAGUUUUUUAGUUUUUAUUCUUUCUUUGUCAGAAAAACAUUUUGGUGAAAAAGCAAACAUGAACAAUGUUAGAACAGAAACUAAAGUUUUCCCAAAGAAUCUGUGUACUUAGUGCUAUAGAGGCCAGUAGGUAAUUUUUUUCUUGUUUCUCUUAUGAAGUUUCCUAGAGCUUGUCUUUUCGGAAUGUACCCCUAUGUUGGCUGCAGAUG